Molecule: non-coding RNA, 2868 nt
Organism: Vicugna pacos (alpaca)
Lineage: Eukaryota; Metazoa; Chordata; Mammalia; Artiodactyla; Camelidae
Source: RefSeq, a predicted model, not a curated record
GAUCCUCCAGUGUCCGCACCACGGGCUUCUUACCUCUCCUGGCCAUCGCUGCGCCACUUCAUGCUGCGGCCGCCGGGGAGCUGAGGGGAAGGAGCAGCGAAGAGCAGCGGGCGCCCAGGCGCGGGUAGACCUGAGUCCGCGCCGACUCGGCUCACUCUUCCACCAGACGCUAGUACAGAGUGUUUCUACUUUCGGCUGCCUCCCCGAGCCGUCGCCGCCGGAAUACACAGGGCAGACAAGGGAGUCAUCUUCCAGAGCCCGGGCCAGAGCUGGGGUGCGCUGAGGAGAGAGCCAGGCAGGGAGAGAAGCUCACGCCGGACUCGCCCCUUUCUUCCAGAAUAAAAUAAAAGUGUCUGAACCGCUCGUGACUGGGCCAGGCUGGACGCAGAAGCCCCUGGACGCCGGCCUCGGUGUUCGUAGGACAGAAAUCGACCCAGAUACCGCCACGGCAGCAGCUCUGCCGGCAGCUGGCUCUCGGCUCUGGGCUCCUCAGCUCCCGGCUCCCGGCUCGGGGUUCUCUCACUGAAGCGCAGCAGCAACCGCGGCGGCUGCAAACCCUCUCGAACCCCGCAAACCCCGCGCAGCCAGCGGGGCGGGCUUAUGUAAAGCAGGGCCGGCGGAGAGCCAAUGGUAUUGAAGGAUGCUAAUUAUCUCUCUAAAAAAAAAAAACCCUCAGCUCCACGCAGCCCCGCCCCUCACACGCCCCCGGUCCGUGACCGAAGGCUACAGGAAGUGGGGGGCAGAGUGCCUUGGAACAGGGGGUCCCGUGGGAGUGUAGAGACGCAGAAGCUGCCCCUCAAGCUUCGGCUUUGAUACCAGAAAAGAAGAAUGUUUGCCCCAGAGUGGAAGGAAAUAAACCAGGCAAGCAGAGGGAUCGGGGCAAUGGACAUCACUGAAACGCUGUCUCUGGACAUCAGACAUCUGCCGCCAGGGCCCACUAACUAGAGUCCCUCCUUCAAAUGCCUGGGGUUGCACUGUGGGUAAGGCUUAUGUCACACUUUGCUGUUCUGGUGGGUAUGCUUCCAGACAGCUCAGCUUUGAAAGGGGUAAAUUUGCACAGAGGAGAGGUGUUUUUUUGUUUGUUUGUUUUUUACUAAAGAAGGAUACACAUGCAUGAUUUAGUUGAAUUUUAUGUCAAAUAGCAUUGUCUUAUUUGUACUCACCCACUAGGGCAAAAACCAUCUCUUAUUCACCUGGGGAUCACUAGUUCCCACUCUCUCUGCCUGGAGUAGGGGACUCUCCCCAUCUGGCUUCCUCUGAAUUUCUAGCUUAGAAGUGCCCUCCUACCAGAAGGUAGCCCAGAUCCUUCAUGUUAAAAACAAUAACAACAACAAAAUUCAACUGAGUAAAUUUUAAAGAUCUUAUUGGCUUUAUUCAAUGAUUCAUGAAUAUGGCAGUAUCCAAUCUAGCAGAAGGAAAGGAGCUUAGAUGAGCUGUAUAAAAUGAAAGACUGUUAUAGGCAGAAGGGAGCAGGAAUAAGCAAGGUAUACUAGACAGAAAAAAGCAGAUUAGUUUUUGCAAGGUUACUUUCCUCUAGGGGAUGGCAGGGGUCUAUCAGGCAGACUACCUAGCUAGUGCUGAACAGGAGAUUCCUCAUUAACUAGUUUAAGAUUCCAUUUCUGGGAGAGCCACAACAGUGAGUAAGCGUCAGUUUGGUGAAGAGGAGUAACUUAACAUAAGCGACUCCGUUUGGAGCCUGGUGUCUUGUUAACAUUCAGUAAACCAGCUAACCAGAGCUUGAAAUUAAAAGCCACCCAUCCCUUCACCCCAAUAAACCACCAUCACCCUGUAGCUACCAUUCUAAUGCAUAUGCCCAUCACCUCUCACUAUUGACUAUUGUAAUAUUCUCCUGACUGGGCUCCCUCUCUCCUGCCUUUUCCUUCUCCAAACCAUCCAGUCCAAGAAUCUUCCAAAAGCCCAGUUCCUAUCUUAUCAUUCCUCUCUUGAAAAAAAUUCAAAUGUUUCCCUUUGCCUUCCAGAUAAAUUAAGUUUAUACUGAUUAGCUGGCCUUCAGGGAUCUCCUCACUUUGUUCCCAGAUGCUUUCCACAACAUUCCAAACCCUUUAUAAGGGAUUGUGAUGGUUAAUUUCAUGUGUCAAUUUGACACAGGUGCCCAGACUAAACAUUGUUUCUGGGUAUGUCUAUGAGGGUUUUUCCAGAUGGGAUUAGCAUCUGAAUUGAUGGAAUCAGUAAAUUGCUCUCCCCAAUGUGGUUGAGCCUCAUCCAGUCUGCUGAGGGACUGAAUAAAACAGAAGGUGUAGGAGAGAAGAGUUCAUCACCCCCACCACCUCCACCUCACUGAUUGAGCUGGAACAUAUCUUCUCCAGCCCUCGAACUGGAAUUUACAUCACCUGCUCCCCUGGUUCUCAGCUCUUUGGACUUGGACUGAAUUAUACCAUGAGCCUUUCUGGGCCUCCAGCUUGCAGACAUCAGAUCAUGGGACUUCUCAUUCUCCAUAAUUAUAUGAGCCAAUUUCUCAUAAGCAAUCUCUAUAUAUGUAUUUUUUUCACAUACCAACAAAUACAGGGAUACUGAGUCUUUAAUGAGCUGAAUCCUGCCUCCUUCUCUAGGCUCUCUGUCAUCACACUAGCCUCUUGAAUACGAAUUCACACUCACAUAGACAUACAGAUGCCCUGAUACACCUACAGAGAUACCUGCACACACACGAACACACAGACAGAUGCACUCACACACAAACACAUGCCUAUGCUCUAGCCAUACUGAAAUCUUUCCUGGUUUUCCAAAUUAACAUGUUGUUCCUUGCAUUUGAUAUGUCUUUGCAGAUGCUCUUUCCUCUGCUCACUCUGCUCAGGGACACCUGUCUUCCUCUUCUGAACCUGGCAGACCUCAUCCUUUAAGAUUUGGCUC